CAAGAAAUAGUUUAUUAAAAUAUUAAUUUUGGGGAUUAAAGAUAAAGAAGCUUCUUUUUUCUUGA
Molecule: transfer RNA, 65 nt
Filed under: Sabethes cyaneus
Lineage: Eukaryota; Metazoa; Arthropoda; Insecta; Diptera; Culicidae
Description: tRNA-Pro
Source: RNAcentral